Long non-coding RNA from Bombus impatiens (common eastern bumble bee), 546 nucleotides. RefSeq annotates it as mitotic-spindle organizing protein 1. Lineage: Eukaryota; Metazoa; Arthropoda; Insecta; Hymenoptera; Apidae. The transcript has a single exon. The record is from RefSeq and is a predicted model, not a curated record.
AAAAGACCGAAACCGAGGCAGCAUGCCAGAACCUGUGCAUCAUCAAAUAAACGCUGCUCGCAAAACAUUUCAAACGCUUUACCAAAUCUCGAAGCUACUAAAUACAAAUCUAGAUCCUACAACGUUAAGUAUAUGCAUACGAUUAUGCGAGAACGGCGUAAAUCCAUAUGCGCUUGCAACAGUUGUUAAAGAAUUACAAAGAGAAGUAAGAGCUAUGGAUAGUAUGAAUCAACUUGAUUCUCCCACGAGCAAGUCUAGUUUAAAUAAGUAAUCGCCAAUUAUGUCUUCUUCAUAAUUUAGAUACUCAAAUGAACUCUGUUAGUCUAUAAUUUUGUACACAUAUUACGAUUAUAUAUUCUCAACAAUGAAAUAUUGAAUUGUUUGUAUUGCUUAUGAGAUUAUUGAUUGUUGCCUAAUAUUAUAUCUUUAGUGAUGUUACUGAUGAAUUGCUAUUAGUUGAAUUUGUCAAUGUCUAAAGCAUACUUUUAACAUUUGUAAUUGUUCUAGCAUAAGGCCAAUAAACAUGUGACUAAUAAGUACUGUUUA